AGUAAUAUGAAGGAAAGCGUCAAGGAUUAUUUGAAUAUGAAGGCCAAUAGAAAAAUGAUACAGCAAAAAGUUCAAGAAAGUACUGGUGCCAAUGUAGCUGUUUUGCGAGACGAAGACAAUAAUUU
Molecule: long non-coding RNA, 125 nt
Filed under: Sitophilus oryzae (rice weevil)
Lineage: Eukaryota; Metazoa; Arthropoda; Insecta; Coleoptera; Curculionidae
Description: uncharacterized LOC115889729
Source: RNAcentral